GCCUGGGUUCCUGCACAGCCAGCUGUGUACUUCGGGUGACAACCUUGAUGCGUGCGACCGACUCACAGAAACCCAACGGCUCCAGGACUAGUGAUUGACGUGCUGGAAUGGCUCUGGACUGAAUGAACAGACACGGAGCAAGACUGGGCUGGACCCUGGGCAGAUCUCAGCCUCCAGGAGGAGCAACCUGGCUGUCCUAACCUGCGAUGCUGGGAGCGAGGGAGAUUUAACACUGCUGCAGAUGGCUGCCUGCAGCCUGGCACAAGGACUGUGGCUGCUGCUGCUUCUCCAGGAUACCCAGACAGCCCCACAGACAUCAUUAACCCCAUCUCAAUUCUGUGAUACUCUUGAGAACUGGUUUUAUGAUGAAGCGUCACGAAGCUGCUGUUACCAGUGUCCCCCAGGUCAGUAUGUUUAUAAUUCAGUCAAAUUAACACGGA
Molecule: long non-coding RNA, 440 nt
Filed under: Athene cunicularia (burrowing owl)
Lineage: Eukaryota; Metazoa; Chordata; Aves; Strigiformes; Strigidae
Description: lncRNA (ENSACUG00000000623.1)
Source: RNAcentral